GGACGAACGCUGGCGGCGUGCCUAACACAUGCAAGUCGAACGGAACUGUUUUGAAAGAUUUCUUCGGAAUGACUUUGAUUUAGUUUAGUGGCGGACGGGUGAGUAACGCGUGAGUAACCUGCCUUCAAGAGGGGAAUAACAUUCUGAAAAGAAUGCUAAUACCGCAUGACAUAUCGGAACCACAUGGUUUUGAUAUCAAAGAUUUUAUCGCUUGAAGAUGGACUCGCGUCCGAUUAGUUAGUUGGUGAGGUAACGGCUCACCAAGACCGCGAUCGGUAGCCGGACUGAGAGGUUGAACGGCCACAUUGGGACUGAGACACGGCCCAGACUCCUACGGGAGACAGCAGUGGGGGAUAUUGCGCAAUGGGGGCAACCCUGACGCAGCAACGCCGCGUGAAGGAUGAAGGUUUUCGGAUUGUAAACUUCUUUUAUUAAGGACGAAAAAUGACGGUACUUAAUGAAUAAGCUCCGGCUAACUACGUG
This 483-nucleotide ribosomal RNA is filed under the name uncultured bacterium. RNAcentral describes it as "partial 16S ribosomal RNA". It matches the Rfam family "Bacterial small subunit ribosomal RNA", at positions 27 to 507 of the family's 1533-position model. The record is from RNAcentral.